RNAcentral lists this ribosomal RNA (350 nucleotides) under uncultured bacterium. RNAcentral describes it as "bacterial SSU rRNA". It matches the Rfam family "Bacterial small subunit ribosomal RNA", at positions 976 to 1326 of the family's 1533-position model. The record is from RNAcentral.
UACCCUUGACAUGCCAGGAACUUGCAAGAGAUUGCUUGGUGCCCGAAAGGGAGCCUGGACACAGGUGCUGCAUGGCUGUCGUCAGCUCGUGUCGUGAGAUGUUGGGUUAAGUCCCGCAACGAGCGCAACCCUUGUCAUUAGUUGCUACAUUUAGUUGAGCACUCUAAUGAGACUGCCGGUGACAAACCGGAGGAAGGUGGGGAUGACGUCAAGUCCUCAUGGCCCUUAUGGGUAGGGCUUCACACGUCAUACAAUGGCGCGUACAGAGGGUUGCCAACCCGCGAGGGGGAGCCAAUCCCAGAAAGCGCGUCGUAGUCCGGAUUGUUCUCUGCAACACGAGAACAUGAAGU